This 253-nucleotide ribosomal RNA is filed under the name uncultured bacterium. RNAcentral's name for it is "partial 16S ribosomal RNA". It matches the Rfam family "Bacterial small subunit ribosomal RNA", at positions 524 to 776 of the family's 1533-position model. The record is from RNAcentral.
CACGUAGGGCGCAAGCGUUGUCCGGAAUUAUUGGGCGUAAAGAGCUCGUAGGCGGUCUGUUGCGUCCGCUGUGAAAACUCGGGGCUUAACCCCGAGCCUGCAGUGGAUACGGGCAGACUAGAGGUAGGUAGGGGAGAAUGGAAUUCCCGGUGUAGCGGUGAAAUGCGCAGAUAUCGGGAGGAACACCGGUGGCGAAGGCGGUUCUCUGGGCCUUACCUGACGCUGAGGCGCGAAAGCUAGGGGAGCAAACAGG